UCUCUGGUGGCUCAGAAGGUGAAGAAUCGGCCUGCAAUGCAGAAGACCCAGGUUCAAUCCCUGGCCGGGAAG
RNAcentral lists this transfer RNA (72 nucleotides) under Capra hircus (goat). It matches the Rfam family "tRNA". From Rfam's summary of the family: Transfer RNA (tRNA) molecules are approximately 80 nucleotides in length. Lineage: Eukaryota; Metazoa; Chordata; Mammalia; Artiodactyla; Bovidae. The record is from Rfam by way of RNAcentral. RNAcentral also lists the same sequence under 1 other name.